AAACCAUGAUGAGGACAACGCCGAAGUAACUCUUUGUAUCUUUCUCAAGCUUCAUGCAACGAUUCUAAAUCUUGCUACAUGAAUGAUGUAAUAUCAUUCCUUAUUUU
Molecule: small nucleolar RNA, 107 nt
Filed under: Theobroma cacao (cacao)
Lineage: Eukaryota; Viridiplantae; Streptophyta; Magnoliopsida; Malvales; Malvaceae
Description: Plant small nucleolar RNA R71
Rfam family: Plant small nucleolar RNA R71
About the family: R71 is a member of the C/D box family of snoRNAs containing the C (UGAUGA) and D (CUGA) box motifs.
Source: Rfam by way of RNAcentral